This 2911-nucleotide long non-coding RNA is filed under the name Daucus carota (carrot). RNAcentral describes it as "long non-coding RNA (DCAR_LNC005562)". The record is from RNAcentral. Lineage: Eukaryota; Viridiplantae; Streptophyta; Magnoliopsida; Apiales; Apiaceae.
GUAUUUAUUAUCUUUUGCAUAAAAUAAUGAAUUUCAGAUGAUUCACUAAAGCUGCAAUAUAGAAACGAUGUACAACAGUUAAAAUCUCGCUGCCAUCUAUUUGUUGUCGUCCAAGUCCAACUUUAUUAUAGAUGAAAAAAUAGGUAUUUCAAUCAUUCUAAUAUUCCUCAUCAUAUCCAUAAUCAUCAAUGUAGUCUUCUUCAUUACCAUAUUGCAAGCCCUCAGAAAAUUCCUCUGGUCCACCUUCAUUCUCGUUUUCUGGAAGCAGUUCAGAGUCAUUUUCCUUCAUAUUCUGCUUCACGUAUUCUGUUCCACUGGCGUACACCUCAUCAUUUAGACGGCUUUUCUUGUUAUCUGGAGAAACCUGUUGGGAAAAGUGAAAGUAACAAUAAACAAAGGAUUCGGAGGUGAUGAAACUCAAAUAAUGUCAUGAUAUCUGUCAGCCAUAGAAGGCCCGACAGAAACAGGAGAAUUGCGAAUUGCCCAGAUAUUUACAACUUAAAAAGACAUAUGGUUAGAUACAGAUAUGAAGGCCGUGUUUGGAAGUCAGAGGUUUGAGAAAAAAUUAGAUGUCUGGGCCAUAUUAAAGGGCCGAAACAGAAAGAGAUGAUCAACAUACCGAGUCAUUAAAAAGUUCGUCCAACACAUCAUAGUUGAUCUUCGAGUCAAGCUUCUGCAAAAUGAAUUCACAACUUACAUUAAUGACAGUCGUUAACAGAAGCAUACAUUUCAAGAAAUUAGCAACAAGAUACAACUUAUCUCCCAAUACACGGAGCACAAUACAACACACACGGAAAGCUAAGGUUUAGAAUAUAUAAAGACUGCUCAUGCAGUAUCUUUGAAUUUAAAAGAAAUAUUCACCACAUAACAAAACAAUAACUUUUAAUAUAUAAUACAUUCCUUUAGCUCAAAAAUAUUAAAUUAGGUGACUCCAGUAGCAGAGAUGCAAAGCACCAAAGCCAGGUUUCCUUAUAAACUCAGAUAUAUUAUUCAUAACUUUUAAUUCAGGGAACGUAUUAUAAAGAAAAAGGAGCUUCUCUGUGGCGAUUAGGAAAAGAACAACCCUCAACCGAAUACUAUCUUCUAAAACAUGACUCCUGCAGAGUAAAGCUAUAGUCCCUCAGCAACUUUCUGCUCAAUUUUAUCCGCUUCACUUCUUGGUCUUUUCUUCACUUACAAUUAUUAUAUAUAAUUACAAUUACAAUUAUGUUUAUAUGCUACAAAAGUAACAAAUAUUAAUUUGCCACAUUUUCAUAUAUGCAGAAUAAGAAAUCUGAUCUGAGCUUAAAAGAAGCAAUUUUACUGGCCCAAGUGUUAGUAGGCAUACUUCAAGGCAAUUAUUUAAAUAAUUUGUUUAUGAUGGUAUGCACCAUCAAUUUUCUUCAAUUAUUGAUACAUCAAUUACCUAAAGAAUUUCUUCAUGAUACUCACUGUCAGUUUUCUUUUUAUAUUAAUUAGGAUGGAAGUGAAUGAAAUUGCAUAAAAACUUAAUACUAUGUAGGUUAACUAACAUUCCUCGACCCUGGGUGAAUACGUAAAGAAAUCUAUAGGGCUUCUUUUUAAUAUUAUUUAAUCUAAGUUUCAUUGUGUUGCAUGCUAGAUAACAAACAGCGAACUACUUGUAUAUGUAUAAUAUGUUUAACCACCAAGUUCGGGAUGGAUUGGUGUGGUUCCUCUACGCCUAGGACACCAGAAUAUCGAACCAUGAACGAAUAAAGGCAUGAGAGAAAAGCAUAUUGGCUAGUGAUUGUGAGGCCCCAAUUCUUGAUUGGAGGGGACACCAAAGGCCUCUGCCCUUCCAUCCCUUGGUUGGAUAGGUAGAUAUAAUGGUACUUGUUACGAUGACUCCUAAAGUUCGCGUUAUGAGUUAUGAGUUGCAAGUCUUUGCACUUGGUCAGGGUUUGCAUGAACACAGACACUACAAUCAUUCCCAAGACAUCAAACUUCAAUAAUAUAAUUCCGGUCACCAACUAACAUAGUACCUUCUUGGCUAGCAUUUGGCGGGUUGCUUCUGCAGCAGUUCGAGGAGGAGCUGCAUUUUUAGCCAUUAUGUUUGUUACUCUUGUAUUUAGUUGUGUUUGUAGUCAAUAGUAUUUAUUUUGUUAUUAUUUCAUGUAGUAAUUUGAAUUCGUUAUAAUUUUAAAAAAAUUUAGUACUACAUUUCAAACGAAAUAAAAAAUUUAGUUGAGUAUAAUAACCCAAAUAAUUUUAGUUCUCAUUCAAUAUUAAUUUUCCCCCUGUCUAUAAUCGAUAUAUAAUUCAAUUCGGCUACCAAAUUCCCGAAUGCUUAGCCCUCCCGGUCACCACUCAUGUAGUCAAUCAGCUAUUUGCAAUGUCAAUUUGAAUCAGUUAAAUACAGUGUUCAAAAUUCAAAUCCACGCUAGUACACUAAGAAACCAUGAAACACAACAUAAGAUACAUGCUUAGUAAUAGUGAAACAUGAUCGAAGCAAAUAAUGUAUUUGGUUAAAUAUCAAAAAAAUAAAUAAAAUUAUCAUAAUGAUUUGUUACAAUGCUUUCACGUGCAGAUUACAGAAAUUAAGGCCACCUGAAACAAUACAAAUAGUUGUGGUCAUCUCAGAUCUGAAAUUUGACUAAUAUAGAGAGCAUUUCUAACGGUGUAUUUAUUAUCUUUUGCAUAAAAUAAUGAAUUUCAGAUGAUUCACUAAAGCUGCAAUAUAGAAACGAUGUACAACAGUUAAAAUCUCGCUGCCAUCUAUUUGUUGUCGUCCAAGUCCAACUUUAUUAUAGAUGAAAAAAUAGGUAUUUCAAUCAUUCUAAUAUUCCUCAUCAUAUCCAUAAUCAUCAAUGUAGUCUUCUUCAUUACCAUAUUGCAAGCCCUCAGAAAAUUCCUCUGGUCCACCUUCAUUCUCGUUUUCUGGAAGCAGUUCAGAGUCAUUUUCCUUCAUAUU